Molecule: ribosomal RNA, 255 nt
Filed under: uncultured bacterium
Lineage: Bacteria
Description: partial 16S ribosomal RNA
Rfam family: Bacterial small subunit ribosomal RNA
Source: RNAcentral
CACGUAGGGGGCAAGCGUUGUCCGGAUUUAUUGGGCGUAAAGAGCUCGUAGGCGGCUUAGUAAGUCGGGUGUGAAACCUCCAGGCUCAACCUGGAGACGCCACCCGAUACUGCUGUGGCUAGAGUCCGGUAGGGGAGCGUGGAAUUCCUGGUGUAGCGGUGAAAUGCGCAGAUAUCAGGAGGAACACCGAUGGCGAAGGCAGGUCUCUGGGCCACUACUGACGCUGAGAAGCGAAAGCAUGGGGGAGCAAACAGG